UUGGCUUCGGCCGAGCAAGUAGAGUGGCGAACGGGUGAGUAACACGUGGAUAACCUGCCCUGCGGUGGGGAAUAACCCCGGGAAACUGGGGCUAAUACCGCAUACGAUCCAUUUGGCUUAAGUUGGAUGGAUGAAAGCCUUCGGGCGCAGCAGGAGGGGUCCGCGGCCGAUUAGCUUGUUGGUGAGGUAAAAGCUCACCAAGGCAGAGAUCGGUAGCCGGCCUGAGAGGGCGCACGGCCACACUGGCACUGAGACACGGGCCAGACUCCUACGGGAGGCAGCAGUGGGGAAUCUUGGACAAUGGGGGAAACCCUGAUCCAGCGACGCCGCGUGACUGAUGAAGCCCCUCGGGGCGUAAAAGUCUUUCAGCGGGGAAAAUAAUGAUGGUACCCGCAGAAGCAGCUGCGGCUAACUACGUGCCAGCAGCCGCGGUAAUACGUAGGCAGCUAGCGUUGUUCGGAAUUACUGGGCGUAAAGCGAGUGUAGGCGGUUUGCCAAGUCCGUUGUGAAAUCUCCCGGCUCAACUGGGAGGGUGCGGCGGAAACUGGCAGGCUAGAGUGCGGAAUGGGAGAGUGGAAUUCCUGGUGUAGCGGUGAAAUGCGUAGAUAUCAGGAGGAACACCGGUGGUGAAGACGGCUCUCUGGACCGCCACUGACGCUGAGACUCGAAAGCGUGGGGAGCAAACAGGAUUAGAUACCCU
Molecule: ribosomal RNA, 700 nt
Filed under: uncultured Acidobacteriaceae bacterium
Lineage: Bacteria; Pseudomonadati; Acidobacteriota; Terriglobia; Terriglobales; Acidobacteriaceae
Description: bacterial SSU rRNA
Rfam family: Bacterial small subunit ribosomal RNA
Source: RNAcentral